Molecule: ribosomal RNA, 388 nt
Filed under: uncultured bacterium
Lineage: Bacteria
Description: bacterial SSU rRNA
Rfam family: Bacterial small subunit ribosomal RNA
Source: RNAcentral
AUUGAACGCUGGCGGCAUGCCUUACACAUGCAAGUCGAACGGCAGCGGGCCUUCGGGUGCCGGCGAGUGGCGAACGGGUGAGUAAUGCAUCGGAACGUGCCAUUGAGUGGGGGAUAACGUAGCGAAAGUUGCGCUAAUACCGCAUAUUCUGUGAGCAGGAAAGCAGGGGACCGCAAGGCCUUGCGCUCUUUGAGCGGCCGAUGUCAGAUUAGCUAGUUGGUGAGGUAAAGGCUUACCAAGGCGACGAUCUGUAGCGGGUCUGAGAGGAUGAUCCGCCACACUGGAACUGAGACACGGUCCAGACUCCUACGGGAGGCAGCAGUGGGGAAUUUUGGACAAUGGGGGCAACCCUGAUCCAGCCAUGCCGCGUGAGUGAAGAAGGCCUCGG